UACGUAGGGGGCAAGCGUUAUCCGGAUUUACUGGGUGUAAAGGGAGCGUAGACGGCAUGGCAAGCCAGAUGUGAAAUACCGGGGCUCAACCCCGGGACUGCAUUUGGAACUGUUAAGCUGGAGUGUCGGAGAGGCAGGCGGAAUUCCUAGUGUAGCGGUGAAAUGCGUAGAUAUUAGGAGGAACACCAGUGGCGAAGGCGGCCUGCUGGACGACAACUGACGUUGAGGCUCGAAAGCGUGGGGAGCAAACAGG
RNAcentral lists this ribosomal RNA (253 nucleotides) under uncultured bacterium. RNAcentral's name for it is "partial 16S ribosomal RNA". It matches the Rfam family "Bacterial small subunit ribosomal RNA", at positions 524 to 776 of the family's 1533-position model. The record is from RNAcentral.